AUAUUUUCCUGACAGAGGAGAUGCCACGGUCAUGGUGGUGAUCUCAGGACGAACGAGGCUCGUUUAUUGUACUGUGAAUGUGCAAACCCUUGUGAUUCCCCAAAGUGCAGGAAACUAUAUAUAAUUUGUGGUAGUGGGGGAUUGUGUUUAUAUGCUCCUG
Molecule: small nuclear RNA, 160 nt
Organism: Rattus norvegicus (Norway rat)
Lineage: Eukaryota; Metazoa; Chordata; Mammalia; Rodentia; Muridae
Product: U1 spliceosomal RNA
Source: Ensembl